UUCCAGACUCCUACGGGAGGCAGCAGUGGGGGAUAUUGCACAAUGGGGGAAACCCUGAUGCAGCGACGCCGCGUGAGUGAAGAAGUAAUUCGUUACGUAAAGCUCUAUCAGCAGGGAAGAAAAUGACGGUACCUGACUAAGAAGCCCCGGCUAACUACGUGCCAGCAGCCGCGGUAAUACGUAGGGGGCAAGCGUUAUCCGGAUUUACUGGGUGUAAAGGGAGCGUAGACGGCAUGGCAAGUCUGAUGUGAAAACCCGGGGCUCAACCCCGGGACUGCAUUGGAAACUGUCAGGCUAGAGUGUCGGAGAGGCAAGUGGAAUUCCUAGUGUAGCGGUGAAAUGCGUAGAUAUUAGGAGGAACACCAGUGGCGAAGGCGUCUUACUGGACCGAAACUGACGUUGAGGCUCGAAAGCGUGGGGAGCAAACAGGAUUAGAUACCCUUGUA
This 446-nucleotide ribosomal RNA is filed under the name uncultured bacterium. Its description in RNAcentral is "partial 16S ribosomal RNA". It matches the Rfam family "Bacterial small subunit ribosomal RNA", at positions 329 to 792 of the family's 1533-position model. The record is from RNAcentral.